AUUUCCCGUAGAAGACUCGCCAUCACUUUUGUGAGGAAUGCCCACCAAGCAAAACAAGUAGGGCUCGAGAGGAGGCCCGGAGAUGGUACUGAGACACGGACCCAGGCCCUAUGGGGCGCAGCAGGCGAGAAACCUUUGCAAUGUGCGAAAGCACGACAAGGUUAAUCCGAGUGUCUCCUGCUAAAGGAGUCUUUUGUCAGUUGUAGAAUCACUGGUGAAUAAGGGGUGGGCAAGUUCUGGUGUCAGCCGCCGCGGUAAAACCAGCACCUCGAGUGGUCAGGAGGUUUAUUGGGCCUAAAGCAUCCGUAGCCGGUUGCAUAAGUUUUCGGUUAAAUCUAUGCGCUUAACGUAUAGGCCGCCGAAAAUACUGUGCAGCUAGGGAGUGGGAGAGGUACACGGUACUCGAUAGGAAGGGGUAAAAUCCUUUGAUCUAUUGAUGACCACCUGUGGCGAAGGCGGUGUACCAGAACACGUUCGACGGUGAGGGAUGAAAGCUGGGGGAGCAAACCGGAUUAGAUACCCGGGUAGUCCCAGCUGUAAACGAUGCAGACUCGGUGAUGCAUUGGCUUGUGGCCAAUGCAGUGCCGCAGGGAAGCCGUUAAGUCUGCCGCCUGGGAAGUACGUACGCAAGUAAUGAAACUAAAGGAAUUGGCGGGGGAGCACCACAAGGGAUGAAGCCUGCUGUUCAAUUGGAUCAACG
Molecule: ribosomal RNA, 700 nt
Filed under: uncultured archaeon
Lineage: Archaea
Description: bacterial SSU rRNA
Rfam family: Archaeal small subunit ribosomal RNA
Source: RNAcentral